GCCUGCUCUAAAUGAAUUGAAAAAUAUCCACAGUUUAUAAUAUACAGCUCUACUAUUUUUGUCCAUUUCAUCGUUUUCCUUAGAAUGGACCAACACGAAAGGAAUUGAUCCGCACGGUCAACGCCGUCCAUGUGGGCAUUGCAUUCCGUGAUGCAGGCAGGCUUUACAAUAUUCUCUCCCGUUUUUCUAUAUUUUUUUUCCUGUUGUUGAGCUAGAAGUGUCGUGGAUCGUUGACAUCAUUCGGACAACCCGCUUGUCUUUCCAUGCUAGGAGAAGACUGUCGCCUUUUCUGGAAAAUGUGAUGUCACCUUUUGUCAUUCUUGAUGUCUUCAUUUGCAAAUUUGGCAGCAAACCUCUACUCUCCCUAAUGGACAAGACAGCGUGCUUGAUGUCUAAGGUCCAUGACAGAUGGCACGGGGGACACGAGAAAACUCGUGAGCCGUCUGAAAGGUGUUAAAAUCGCUUUUACUUUAAAAAAUAGAAUAUAGUAAGUCUAACUAUGCUGGUCAGGAGGGAAACAAGGUGUUGUUUAUUUAUCACAUUUGUAAAGCCCUGGGUUGGCUAAUCAUUUUGUUUGUGGCUUCUGCAAUAUUAAGGUUUCCAAACCCUUUCCUUCCUCCUCAGCCCUUCUGUGUGUCUGGCAGUGCUUCUGUCCCUCCUGCCUCUGCAAAUGGCUUCAAAGGACACGGAUGAAACUCUUUGCAAAGUGACAAUCCGUAUGCAAGCACGAGGGCUUUCAUUGCAAGUUUUGUCACUGGGUACGGUGUGCCCUUCUGCCCAUCAAACUGCUUCUUAGCUGGGAUGGAUCAAGGAAUCGACUUGUAAUGACAAGUCAGUCUCCUGACUUCCCAGCUGCUUUGGAACUUUUCCGGGGACAGGAAGGAAGAAGCCACGAAUCGAAGCGUGCUCUUCAUCCAUCUGUCCCGAAGCUGCAUGUCCUGCCGCUGCUGGUCAGGGUCUGCCCCGCACAGGGGUGUCAGGAUUCUUCCCCGAGCAUCCAAUAAUUGCAGAGCCUUGAACGAGAGACCUGUGGCUUUGCAGAGAUCCAUCGCAAAGACUUUGCGAUCUGUCGUCAGAAAGCCCGUGGCCACGAACCAUGCUGACCGUGUUGACUCCGUACACACUGGAAUGGAAAUAUUUUCCUCCGAGUGAAAAAAAUGAUAGCAUUUCCAGCCAGAGAGGGGGCUUCUAAACCACGGCACCCUUCAAAAUCCUCAAGAUUCACUCAUCCUGCAAGCCCCUGUCCAGCCUUUCCUGAGUGCCUGGCAGCUGAGGAUAAUAAGGAAAGAAAGCUCGAGACCCUCCAGCGCCACCCCUUUGUUCUGUGAUUUCUACGUUUUAUUAUUCCGCCUCCGAGCUUGGAUCUGCUCCCUUCCCUCAGAAUGCCAUGCCGAGGGAUCCGUUUCCAAGUUCCUUUGGCUGGAAGGCACAUCCUGAAGCAGGAUGUACCCUCAGAGACGCAGGGGUUCCUCAUGGUUUAUGGCCCGCAGAGAGUUCCUUUCCGGCUUUGUAGCACAGCUAGACCCACCUAAAAGCGAAGUUGCAUAUGUGCAUGUUUAUACGAAGCAUAAAGAACACAAGAAAGGGUUCAAGACAUGAAAAAAGGGUGGAGGAAGAUAAACAUUUCAAGAUUCAGAUCAUGUUGCUGCCCAGACUCCCAGCGUCUCCGAGGAAAUAGCUAGAAGGGCAAUUCUAGCUUCCUUCCAAGGAAUAAAGAGUUUGCUGCGAGCAGAGAACGUGCCAAGAAAGUGCCAAUUUGUGUCACACUAACAUCUUUCUCUUAAGGCUGAACGUGGCCUUCGGAAACGUGAACCUUUGGCUCCGGUGAGCACGAGUCAGCCUUGAGGGUUUGAAAUUAGGCUCUUCAGAAGGACCGAGGGAAAUCUGAGAGAUCAAUUCAGACACCCCCUAAUUAGGAAAUGUACCGACGCCAGAGAUGCGUUUGCAAAGAGUGGCAGGGUCAAAUUUUCCAUGCCACUCGGGGUGAACUCAGAACGAUGGAAACCCUGCAAACACGUUUGGAAAUGAUUUCGCUGGAGACAGAGAGAGACAGUGACUGCUGGAGGGAGGAAGAGAGGACAAAAGGCAAACCAAGGCGGGAUGCUGUCAUCGAGAAGACUUGUUGGCAGGGAUGAGUGGAAGAAGGUUCUAGCUUUCCUGUCUCAGACAAAACAACCUUCAAAGGCCACCUUCUCCUAGCCGGGGGGGAGAAUGUAACCACCAAUGCAUUCUGCAUAUUUAAAACUGUCCUUUCUGCGUUUAGAAUUUUCAUAGCACCAGCCUCCUGCAAACCUCAGUAAUGAAUGUAGCAUGAUGAUCCUUUGGGGGUUGUAGACACAAUCUAAGAACAAGUGACUCCGGAGUAACAGACUUCACAGCCGGAGAUAAUUUCCAUUGCCUAAUGGGCUUUACCCCUGAAGCUCUCAUUGUUUCACUCUCAUCCCAGUCGGGUCUUUGUUUGCCUUACCUCUUUGGGGAAAUCGUUGUGUAAGGACCAAAUAUAAACGGUGACAUAGCCUUUUCCACUUUAUCUUUUCCAGGAUAAUGGCUCCCCUGCCCCACUUCCCACCGGCAGAAGGAUUAGGCCCAAAUGGGUGAUGAAUUGCUCCAAACAGGCUGACAGCCCCAGAGAGAGGCAUGAGAGUAAAUUCGACUAGCUGAUUACCGACAGAGAGCAAAUUGGCCACUUGAGAAUUCAGUGGCUGGAAUGACAAAUGAGAAGAUGGAAAUCCUCACCAAGGGACUGGACUUUCUGAUGAGUCCAAGUGCUGAUGAGCAAUUUCCAUGCCCCUCCCUCCCUGCUGUGUUGAUGGUUUACGUCUGAUAGGACAGCAUUUUGCAUUGGGGGCUGUCAUUCCUAAAAGGGUGUUUGGAAAACUUUGAAGUACUUAAUAAUAACCAGGAGGCGUUUGGGGGGCCCCGGGCAGUGGAGUGGAGGACGCCCGUGUUGGGCUUAUGGAAUGUUCGAUUGUAGACAGAGCCCAUGCCUGGUUGGUGUGGUUUCAGUUUUCAUUCCACCACCCCAUAAGGCAGCCUUCCAGGGUUUUCUAGACUCUGGAAGAAAAUAAAAAACGAGAGGAGCAUUCUUGGCCAAGGGAUCUAGGAUUUCAACAUGUGGACACGCUGAGUCUCCUAUUAAUGGUCAAUCACUAAAAAUAGAAAUAAUUUGGGACUCCUUUGAAGAGAGGCCAUUUUUAUUGGUCUUCAUUUGAAUUAAUCCAUCAAGGGAGGAGGAUACAUAAUGAGCCGUAGACAUGUUUAGUGGGGCUACGUCAUACAUACAUGAAGAGAUCAAACAGGGCCAUCAACCGUCAACCCCCAAGUGGACACAGACCUUCCUGGGAAUUCCAGGAAUUAAGAGGAAAAUGGAGGUGGAUGGCAGGUAAGUUAGGUAAUCAGGAUACAAUCCAGACAGAAAGGGUGAUAAGACUUAGGCUUUGAUGGAUGGCUAGAACUAUAAUAAUUUCUGGGUGGGAAUCACUUGAGUCAACAAUAGUAGUGAUUUUUUUUUUUUUAAAGUGAUUUGGUGCAGAGUAGAAUGGCUUAUCAUGAGCGAAGUGGUUUGGAUACAGGAGUCCGGAAAGGUGAGACCAGGCACCAAGUUGUAUAUGUAUGAAUGGGCUUCCAACACCAGGCAAGGAAUUGGGUUUGAUCUUACAAGCACUGGAAGCACAUUGAUGGCUCUGUGUCAAGUUAGAACUGUUUUAGAAGUCUGUUUGUCCCACAAAAAAGGAACAACAACAACAACAACAAAAAAAAAAAAACCAAUAUUCUCUGGAACUUCACCAAUAGGUAAAACCAACAGGUAAGGCUGCCAUUUUGAUUCUCCUUUGGUCUGUGGGACCAGAGCUGUGGAAAUUAAGGAUGAACUAGCCCAGGGCCUGGGACAUAGACUAACUCCCCACACAUCGUUAAAUGCACAAAUGAUGCUGAACUACCUAGAACCAGUCUACUGUUUCCUGGAACAGAUGAGGGAGACCAGAGGUUACCUUAGAUGUCUCCAGAGGCAGCCGUAGAUCAUUGGAAGAGGCCCGGUUGGAAGUCACGUGAACUGGGCAUGUAGCUAUACCUUCUUGGAUCUGUCUAUUUCCUUGCAUGAAAAGGCAUGGAUGAGUUUCACGAAUUAGCUUUACCUGCAGGGAGAUUUCUAUGUGUAUUUUGGGGGAGAGAGAUGCCAUUCUUAGCUCGUGUUGGAUUUUCCAGAGGAGUCAUGAGCCGAGAUAAGGUUGGGAACCUCCGGAUUGUGUUUCUUUUAAACUAGAAGAGUCGGUGAUUUUCCUCCGUUAGGACAAUUGGAACACAAGACGCCAAAAGGUCUGCCAAUUUUGUCACCGUGUAGGCAGGCGGCCUGUGGCUGACUGGUUUGACCGAAAUGAGAAGGAAAGGAUGUUUUUCCAGAAUUGUCAACUCAACCUCAGAUUCCUCACUAGUCUACGGACCAUUAUUGAUCUGAUCAGCCGUCCCAGGGUGUCGUUGCUAACCAUCAAAAGGGACACAUCAUUGAAAAGCAGUUGCUCCCAUCGGAACGUGACAUUGGCGGUGUGUGACCUCUGACCUUUUUUUUUUUUUCCUGUUUCUUCUUCCUUUCUUUAAGUGAGAGUGCUUACAAUGGUCUCUGUUGUAAGGUUAUUGGAGAGAAUAAGCAGGUAAUGAUGGGAAGAAAGCAUUUGGGCAAAUGAUACCCUUCCGCUGUUAAGGCUAUUCUUCGAAACAAUACGCAGUGAUUUGUUUGUAGAAUGGACACUUUCGGGAGUCACUCUGAUUCGGGACUUGCCCAUAAUGGUAUGACGAUGGCCAGAGAACAUGAGUAGUUGGAGCAAACUGUCGCGCCCGCCUCGCCAGCAAGGAAGAUGCGGCAACUGGAGUUCUUCUGACCGUGCUUU
Microcebus murinus (gray mouse lemur) is the source of this 4883-nucleotide non-coding RNA. NCBI's taxonomy places the organism in Eukaryota, Metazoa, Chordata, Mammalia, Primates, Cheirogaleidae. The record is from RefSeq and is a predicted model, not a curated record.